RNAcentral lists this transfer RNA (71 nucleotides) under Camelus bactrianus (Bactrian camel). It matches the Rfam family "tRNA". From Rfam's summary of the family: Transfer RNA (tRNA) molecules are approximately 80 nucleotides in length. Their secondary structure includes four short double-helical elements and three loops (D, anti-codon, and T loops). The record is from Rfam by way of RNAcentral. Lineage: Eukaryota; Metazoa; Chordata; Mammalia; Artiodactyla; Camelidae. RNAcentral also lists the same sequence under 2 other names.
GAGGCUAUAGCUCAGUGGUAGAGCACAUGCUUGGCAUGCACAAGGUCCUGGGUGCAAUUCUCAGUACCUCU